RNAcentral lists this long non-coding RNA (1125 nucleotides) under Moschus moschiferus (Siberian musk deer). RNAcentral's name for it is "lncRNA (ENSMMSG00000006964.1)". The record is from RNAcentral. Lineage: Eukaryota; Metazoa; Chordata; Mammalia; Artiodactyla; Moschidae.
AUGUGGAUUCUCCAGGGGACUGGCGUUUUCCUGGCCCGUGUCACCUUCUGCUUUCUCCUGCUGACUGGGGCUUUUGAACAAGUGUUUCUUCUGGUGCAUUCCCAGGGCAGCAGCUGUUUUGCAAAUUUUGGGGCAUUGGAAACAGGCAUAGCCCUUCCCGUUGUGCUCCCUGAUAUGCCUCUGCUCGUGAUUCCUUUUCGUGGACAGAUACAGAAAACUCUGAAAGCAGAACUGACAGUGGUACCGUUUUUCUCCUGUGUGGAUCCUUUCGUGGAUUUUGAGGGUCUCGUUCAAUGUGAAGGCCUUGUUGCAGUACUGACAGACGAACUCCUUCACGCCCAGGUGGAUGCGCUCAUGCUUCUGGAGGUUGCCGUGCACGGAGAAGCACCGGCCACAGGUCUUGCACUGGUAUGGCUUCUCUCCCGUGUGGCACCGCAUGUGCAUUUUGAGAGUGGAGGGGCUCUGAAACUGCUUGGCGCAGAGCUCGCAUGCGUAAGGCCGGGCCGUGAGAUGCCGGUGGGGCCUCCCUUGGCUCCCGGCCCCCGAGGCUUUGUCUCCGUCGUCGCAGAGUUCACACUGCAGCUUAGGCAUCUCUUUGUUUUCCUCUUCCUCGAAGGCCUUCUCCUGCGGAGCCCUGCCCACUGCACAGUCCAGGUCGGCCGGGUAUCUGCACUUAGCGCUCGGGCUCCUGUUUUCAUGCUCCUUCCUCCAGCUGGCCUUCCUCAUUUUUCUCAACUGUCUGGAUUUCUUCUUGGGUUUGUAGUUGUAGUAUGGGCGCCACGGUUUGUCCGUGGAAUCCUGGUCACUGGCAUCGUCAAACAUCUCGUUCAUCUCCACGCACUCGGACUGGCAGAGCCCGAGAGGGUUGUCUCCGUUGGCUUCCUGGUCACUCUCCUGGGGCAGUGUCUCCUCCUGCGUUUCGUACUUGGGUCUCCGCCCUCUCUUAUAGAACAGUUUAGAGCCGAGGAUGUGCCUCUUCACAAUGGCUUCAUUCCCGAUUUUCACCGUAAUUUGACAAAGGGGCGCGACGUUGCUGUUUGUGGAGGUUCCCGGGAGAGCGGGCUUUGCGAUGUAGGUUUCAAUUUUACUCGUUUCUUUAAUGGUAUUUGUAGGUUUGCCCAGUGA